This 271-nucleotide ribosomal RNA is filed under the name uncultured bacterium. Its description in RNAcentral is "partial 16S ribosomal RNA". It matches the Rfam family "Bacterial small subunit ribosomal RNA", at positions 337 to 605 of the family's 1533-position model. The record is from RNAcentral.
UCCUACGGGAGGCAGCAGUGAGGAAUAUUGGUCAAUGGGAGAGAUCCUGAACCAGCCAAGCCGCGUGAGGGAAGACGGCCCUAGGGGUUGUAAACCUCUUUUGUCGGAGAACAAGACCCGGGACGUGUCCCGGAUUGCGUAUAUCCGAAGAAAAAGCAUCGGCUAACUCCGUGCCAGCAGCCGCGGUAAUACGGAGGAUGCGAGCGUUAUCCGGAUUUAUUGGGUUUAAAGGGUGCGUAGGCGGUCCGUUAAGGCAUCGGUAAAAUUCCGG